RNAcentral lists this transfer RNA (71 nucleotides) under Florometra serratissima (common feather star). Its description in RNAcentral is "tRNA-Leu". It matches the Rfam family "tRNA". Rfam says of the family: Transfer RNA (tRNA) molecules are approximately 80 nucleotides in length. Lineage: Eukaryota; Metazoa; Echinodermata; Crinoidea; Comatulida; Antedonidae. The record is from RNAcentral.
AUUAAAAUAGCAAAGUAGAAAUGCAAAAGAUUUAGGAUCUUUUAUCAUAGGUUCAAAUCCUUUUUUUAAUU